Molecule: ribosomal RNA, 253 nt
Filed under: uncultured bacterium
Lineage: Bacteria
Description: partial 16S ribosomal RNA
Rfam family: Bacterial small subunit ribosomal RNA
Source: RNAcentral
UACGUAGGGAGCAAGCGUUGUCCGGAAUCAUUGGGCGUAAAGCGCGCGUAGGCGGCCCUGUAAGUCCGUUGUGAGAGUCAAAGGCUCAACCUUUGAAAGCCGAUGGAUACUGCAGGGCUAGAGUCCGGAAGAGGCGAGUGGAAUUCCUGGUGUAGCGGUGGAAUGCGCAGAUAUCAGGAGGAACACCCAUAGCGAAGGCAGCUCGCUGGGACGGUACUGACGCUAAGGCGCGAAAGCGUGGGGAGCGAACAGG